Molecule: long non-coding RNA, 200 nt
Filed under: Elaeis guineensis (African oil palm)
Lineage: Eukaryota; Viridiplantae; Streptophyta; Magnoliopsida; Arecales; Arecaceae
Description: long non-coding RNA (EGUI_LNC026119)
Source: RNAcentral
UUCGCGAUCUUAUUUCUAAUUUCAAAGAUGCCCACGAUGGUUUUGAAACUAAUAAGAUAGGUGUAACCACCAUCUGAUCUUGAAAAAUUUCGAUCAAAAAUUCCAUCACAUCAUGCCAAAAUCGGCCACAUAACCUAUCUAAAAUAGUUUUCCAACCUUCGUCCACAAAAAGACAUCUAAGGGACCCUCUAAGGUACGCA